UGCUUGCUUGAGCUGGGUGAUGUCAUUUCCUGGAUAAACUCAAGGAGUCAUUUUCUUCAAAUUCUUUUUCCAACACUUCCAAAAUGAGCAAGGAUUUUCUGCAUCAUCCUUUACUUUGAGGUUAGCAUGACUAAAACAUCUGUAACAGCAAAGGAAAUUUAAAGCUCAACAAAACCCAAAGGCAAGCACCAGCUGUCCACUCUUCAGGACCCAGGAGAAAUCUUUGCACUAGUCAAGCCUGUCAUGUGAUUCUGUAACUGGAAGGGCUGUGAGGUGAAUGCCAGAGUCAUCAAAUGUGAAAUCAGCUCAUCAUAUGCUAUGGAUAAUUUGAAUGUCAUGUCCCAAAGUUCAUCUGGGAGCUUCCUCACUCUGGAAGGAUUGGAAGGUGAAGGCCUUUGGGAAGUGGCAUUAGUGCCUUUAUGGGAGACCUCAGAGAGUUCUCUCACCUCUCUGUCAUGUGACAUAAGAGUGUGAAGAUGGGCAAGAAGGUCUUCUCCAGCCACAGACGCUGCCAAGGACUUGAUCUUUAAUUUACCAGCAUCCAGAACUAUGAGUGUUGCAUAUGUGGGUUUAUGGCAUGCAAACUAACCCAACAAAUGGAAGAAAUUGUGCAUCAUGUCAGAGAGCUUUCAGGAACAGAAUUUGGAACAAAGGAGCCAAUACUUGACACAUCCAUAAAAAUCAAAAGAGUGGUGAGAUAAUGGAUGAGAAAUGCUUCUUAACCCGAGAUGAAAGAGUCCUGCUCACCGAAUGUGUAAGUGAACGGUGCGGGGGUGUUCCUUAUCACCUUGUGUCUCCACUCUCCUCAAUAUGCACUUCUGGGUCAGUGGACACAUUGGACUAAUGGACAGAUGUUUAUUCCACAAUGCCCAGAGGGUUGAUCAAGAUUGAAUAUCCAUCAGCAGGACUGAGGAAGGCUUCUUAGAGGUAAUGUGGUGUGGUUUCGAUGAGCUGUAAAAGACUAAAAAUCCAGAAACUAAGAUAAUGAUACUUGUAGAGGGAGAAAAAGCAAGUUUAUAGUGUUCUGAUCGGUUACAAAGCUUUUUACAGAAGAACCUUUUUCCCAAGCUACCAAAAUUUCUGGAGUCACCAACUACAACAACUUCCCUGUUCCAUGAUUCCUGAAGAGUCUGAAAUAUUAGGGGAUUGUCACAGGUCUCUCUUGACUAAUGGCUCUUAUACUGAAGGAGGUCCCCUUCUUUGCUGUCUUUUUCUGCUGCUUGAAGUCCCUCGGGGAACUGUUUAUUGAAGUAUUCUGCUGCACUCCUGACAUUUAAGCAUCAUUGAAUCAAGACUCUGGCCUUCUGCAGUGCGUCCUUGCUGUUUGGUGUCCUUUCAUGCCUUAGGAUCUUCGUGCAUGAGGCAUUAUAGUGCCAGAAACUAGAAGUACUUCCAUUCCAGGCUAACGGCUUACACAAAGCCCACUUACCAGUUUUCAUUCAGAGUUUGCAGGACUGUGCAAAAGGGUGAGCUCCUUUUAGGAGUCAAGGUUAUAGUUCCCCAAAUGAUGUCUUAUGAUCCUGUGGCAUCCACAGAGACUCAAAAGGAUCAGUGUCACAUGGUAUGGAGCCUUGUUGAAUCAUGGAAAGAUCUCCUGGUUAUUAGUACAUGAAAUUAAAAAAAAAACAACCUAAAGACUUAGGUAUCAAGUUACCACAGUAACUAUAAGUCAUCCUAGUGAUCUGUGCAGCGUGGGACAGUGUGUGGCAUAAUUAUCUGUUGCAUGGAAGAUUGCAGGAGUACCAACCUGGGUAAGGACAAGCAGGGAUCUUCAGAUGGGGGACUGUGAUACUCUCAGAGGAGAAAGCAGACAUCCUUGCAGCUGAUGGGAAAAGUACUGCCUUAUGUGUCUCUCCAAUAGGAGAUAAAGGUCACUGACAUCAGGUGGAAGAGCUUUGUGGUGGGCUUCAGACCUUCAGGUUACUCACCUAUAAAAUGGGAUGAUAAGUCCUACAGGGCCAAAACAAAUAUCAAGCAAGGUCACUUCAGUUGUGAAAGCUUUCAGUUUAUGGAUAUUUUGGCAUGCUAUUUUAGAUGUGUGAGCCAACCUUCAUCUUCAUCAAGUAAGGGUGGAAGAUUUGGGGGGAAAGAAUGAACAUGUAUUGAGUAUAUAAUGCAUUCAUAAGGAAUGCCAUGUUAUCUACUACUUGUGAUAACCCAGUGAGGUGGGAGUCUAUGACUUAGAAAACUCGUUUGAAUCUCAAAGUGUUCAGAAGACAGUAAGUGAUGAAUCCGUGAUUUAAAUUCAAAUUGAUCUGAUACCCUAGCCUAUGUUCUGCUCUCUGAAACAUGAUACUUCCACCCCAUGGUAAGUGCAAAUUGGGUGAGAAGUGUCUAGAACUGUUGGCUUUUUCUACUUUUAGCAUUCAGUUGGUGGAACAUAAUUUUCGACCUGUUUUCAAGAGCCCGACGUGAGAAAAAGGUGUGGGAAAGCAUUACACCUAAUAUCUUGCAGCUAGUAAAACUCAUCUUCAAAUCAAUUCUUGUCCUUAGGAAGUUAGGCAACAACUAAUAUUUAUGUUUCACUAUUAGGAUUUUACUAAAUUCCAAUUUUAGGCUUCUUCGAAGAACUGAGGCAACUGAAUGACAGUUUUUCAUUUUAUAUCAUUUUAAAAAUAAAAUUGCAAGUCUUUAUUUUUCCAAAAGAUGGCCUUUCUUGUGUUUAAGGAAUAAAAGAACUACCCAUGGAUAUACAUAUAAAUGUAUGCAUGUUACAGAAGUUAAAGCAUUUAUUCCUGUAAUUCAAUUAGUUUGCCAAUAUAGCAAUAGACAGACAGACAGAUAGAUAGAUAGACAGACAGAUACACACACACACACACACACACACACACACACACACACACACACACAAAGACAUACAUACUUAACAUAUGAGGAGAGGGGAGAGAGGAAAAGAGAGAAAAAAGAGAGAAUUCUAUUCUGGAAGUAUUUCUGAGACACACUUAGAAAUAAUGUUUUACUGAUACCUGGGAAUUCCUUAGCCUUAUUAGUGUUGAUGCAAAAUUAGCGAUGUAUGCAUGGACAUAGAAUAUGAAUGUAUUUCAACAACACACACAAACACACACAUAUCUUCUGGCAUGUUAUGAUCUUUAAAGACCUAGGAAAAAAUGUAUUAGUCUAUGUCUUCAUAAUGUACAAAUCCAUCCCAUUUUGAAAGCAUGUGUUCGUCUACCUGUUAAUACUACAUCUGUCUCUAGUCAAAAUACUGCCGGGCUGAUGACCCUGCCCUCGUGGUUUGGUUAUGGGAUCAUCUGGAGACUCUUCAUGCGCAGGAUCCAUCCUAUUUCAUUUCAGAGGCACAAGAGGUGCAGCCCACUGCUAGGUAUGGUGUGUGAGAGAGAGUGGCUCCUCAACUUUAAAUGAAGAACACAUGGAGAUGAAGACUGGCCACAAAGAGCCAAAAUGAAGUCACUUCUGAGCCUCUCCACUUGCUCCUCAUGCCCCUGCACUCGGUAAGAAACAGAUACUAACUCUCCGAGUUCCAGCUAAGGGAUGAAGGUGCUAUGCCAAUGGUAAUCUUCAGCAUCUAACUUUUUGGUGAAGCUUCUAUUGUCUGUCAAGGCAGGAUCCAUAGAGGCUGCCACAGCCACUACCACUGACACACGCCUACACUGACGGAUGUCCCUGCAUCUCAUCACCAUCUUCCAUUUGUUAUCCCCUCUGGGAUGACACUGACAGCUUGUUUCUGAUGGAUCACUGAAUCGGAGCUGACAGCGUGGACCCCUUUCUACAUUGUGUAUCUUAAAAUACUUGAUUCUUUAUGAGUUAAUCAGCCAUCUGCCUGUAGCACAGAUCUUCCUUUCAAUCUCUUCCCUUGGAAAUGAACAACUUGAGUGGGUGGGUCUUGAGCCACACGGGGAGAGAAAUGAAUAGACUAGUGCUGAUGAUCCACCUCCCCUGUCCUCUGAGAAUCUGAAUGAGAACUCAAAGUUCAGACUUUACCGCCAUCACUAUCCAACACAAGCAUGUGUUUGCCUUCAUUAUCACCAUAAUCAAGCAUAACAGGUUUCCCAAGAUUCUACUACUGUGACUUCAAAGUCAUGAUGGGCUAUCACCCAGGGCUGUAAGCCAAAUAAACUAUUUCUCCCAUUUGUCAGAAUGGUUAACCAUAGCAGUAGGAAAAGAACCUAAGACAGAAAUUGGUCCCAAGAAGUGGGGCCACUGCUAUGACAAACUGGACCACAUCAAGGACCAUGAGGUCCUUUGGAAUUGGUUUGUGGGAGGAGUUUGGAAUUCAGAGCUAGACGUUCUAAACAUUCUAAAAGUGUUUAAAUGCUGGAAGCAGAAAUUAAUGAGCCUUUCUAUUGGGAGUUUUGAUGACAGUGAUGCUGAGAGAGAAAGGAAGAGUGGAGAUCCUGCUCAUCAGAUUUCAGAAGUAUCAAGGACUGACUAGUGGGGGAUUCAUUAAGGCAACUCCACAUAGUUAAAAGGGAGGUUUAUUUUGGGGUAGCUUACAACAAGUAAAGGGAUAGGUUUCAGGAUCCGAGAUAGGUGAAGUGCAGCCCAGCGGUGUUCUCUGGAGAACUCUGCUCAGUCUACCAUCCAGCAUCCAGGAUCACCAGGAACCAAGAGAGCCGGCACACCCAGAUCUCAGGUCUUAAGGGCUCCCAUCUUGGCCCUGCCUCAGGGGCAGGUCAUAGGUAGGCAUAACAGUUAUUGGAAGCCUCACUGGGGGGAGUACUUCCAGGUCAAAGCUGGAACAGCUACCCACUACAACUGACUAUAUCAGGAACUGGGCUAAGGCUCAUUUAUUGUGAUAGUUUGACCAAGUAUCUAGCUUCAUUCUUCCACUGCACUGAGUUUGAAAGAAGUUGUACGUGAAGCUAAUCUGCUCACUUGCUUAACAAAAGAAAGAUGGGAGGGGAACUUCAAGCUUCCAAUAAGGAUAGUACAGAUAGCAGUGCACCUGUAACUGUUGAAGAUAUUGAUGCCAUUAAAGAGAAACCUGUCACUCCGCCCCACGACAACAUGAAAGUGUUUCCUCAGGGUUAGCACACAGAUGCUGAUAGAAAUUUAGUCUAAGGCAUACACGCAGGCUACACCUUCAGCUGGGAGUCGAACUCGGCAGUGACGUUGUCUACACAGUACCGGUUUUGAAGACAGAGAUACAAUAUUGAGGUCAUGGAUAGCAGAUGAGGCCAAUCACUUGUGUGGCAGGGUUUGACUCUCUUCUGUGAGGCACUGAACAGAUAUUAUGUGAAACUGUGAAAGUGAAGCCCAAACUGCCAUGGAAACCCCUGGAUAUUGGAGAGACUAGGACCACAGAACAGCUGCUAAGGAAGGCUACAGGUAUAGAGUGGAGCUGGCCUAAUCCUAAGAGAGAAUCUGUAUGCUGCACGCAUCAGAGAUGAGGGAGUGGACUACCCAAUCCUUUUGGCAUCCACUUGGUCACAUCACAAAUCUGAGAUACUAGAUGUGAAGCUGUAGGAUUUAGUGUUUACCCUGCUGGAUUUGGGUGGUGUUUUGCUUUGAUAGUUUCUUGUUGUGCACUGAUUAGCCAAUUUAUGUUGUAACAGGAAUGCUUGCUCUGUGCCAUUGUAUCCUAGAGGUAUGUAACUUGUUUUUUCAUUUUGUGAGAGCACACGGUUAAGAGGAGGGACUUUUAAAGAGCUGUAGCUGUUAAUAAAAUGACUAUGGGAAUAGCUGAA
Molecule: long non-coding RNA, 5648 nt
Organism: Peromyscus californicus insignis
Lineage: Eukaryota; Metazoa; Chordata; Mammalia; Rodentia; Cricetidae
Exons: 3
Source: RefSeq, a predicted model, not a curated record